UCCUGGCUCAGAACGAACGCUGGCGGCAGGCCUAACACAUGCAAGUCGAGCGCGCCCUUCGGGGUGAGCGGCGGACGGGUUAGUAACGCGUGGGAACGUACCCUUUGGUAGGGAAUAGCCACUGGAAACGGUGAGUAAUACCCUAUGAGCCCUUCGGGGGGAAGAUUUAUCGCCAAAGGAUCGGCCCGCGUUAGAUUAGGUAGUUGGUGGGGUAAUGGCCUACCAAGCCUACGAUCUAUAGCUGGUUUUAGAGGAUGAUCAGCAACACUGGGACUGAGACACGGCCCAGACUCCUACGGGAGGCAGCAGUGGGGAAUCUUGGACAAUGGGGGCAACCCUGAUUCCCAGCCAUGCCGCGUGAGUGAAGAAGGCCUUAGGGUCGUAAAGCUCUUUCGCCUGUGAAGAUAAUGACGGUAGCAGGUAAAGAAACCCCGGCUAACUCCGUGCCAGCCGCUGC
This 457-nucleotide ribosomal RNA is filed under the name uncultured bacterium. RNAcentral's name for it is "bacterial SSU rRNA". It matches the Rfam family "Bacterial small subunit ribosomal RNA", at positions 17 to 518 of the family's 1533-position model. The record is from RNAcentral.